CAGAGCCCCACGGAGCUCCUGCAGGGGGGCACGUUUCACCCGCACCUUCCGCACUUUAGCGGCGCUCCCGGCUCCCGCACCGCCAACCGGCAAAGCAAACCAAAAUACCUGCUCCGGCCACGGGAAGCCAAGGCGCUGCCAGCUGCCGGCGCAGCCCCGCGGCCGAGGGGAAAUGGGCAGAAGCGGCUAUUUUAGCAAUAAUGGCUGAAGCGCCUUCAGUCCGGCUGCUGGGACGGAAACGCCAAAGAAAAGCUGGAGAGGGGUCUGUAAGCAUGGUGCUUUCCUUCUGGAGCCAGGCAAAGGCUGGGGACCCAAAAGGCAGAAGCUAGUGGUGGCUAGAGCAAGACAGAAUGAAAUAGAGGACCUGGGAAAGACAGGAUUCCACAAACUAAAAACUCAGAACUGAGUGCUGGAAGAAGUUUCCCUGAUAAUUGAAGUGCUCUUGUUAUCAAUAUAAGCCCGGCUAGAAGAAAACACCUUCAGAGCUGGAUUUGACUCCAGCCAGUGCUUAGAUCCUGGAAGAAGAUCCAAUGCUAUAGGAUUCUUUCAUUCCAUACAACUGAAAACCACAUGGUGACACAACCCAAGACCAAGAGGUUCAUUUCCUGAAAGCUCAGAGAAAUGAGAGGAUCCGGGGAUGCUGCGCAUGACCCAAAACAAAGUUUUUCUUCUCCCUGUGCCUAAACAAAACCUUUGAUAGCCCAGCACCUCAGGCCAUACACAGCAAAUCAGUUGGCAUCACAGGCUGGUUUGGCAAAGAUUUUCUAUGGAUGCUACUGAAAAUAAAACUGAGAAAAGCACAGCCUCAGCAGGCACAGUCCUACACACAGCCUGGCACAACAAUCUGCCAUAGAGGGCUGUAUACCCUGAAGAAAUUCUUAUACAUGUAUUCACUGUCAGCAUGUUUCAGUUCAUCUUCCUGUCUGAAAUAGACUGCUAUUAACCCUGCACAAUCUCAUUUUCUUCCCAAAAGUUAAUCUAGGUUUACUUUUACAUAAAGAAACACAUUUUCCGCACAAAACCUGCAGAGAAAGGGUAAAGGAGGCCUUGCUUUGUGGGAAGCAUCGUUCUCCUGGUGCCUAGCCAAAGCUUUGCCAAACUGAAGCAUUGACGCCUUAUUUUUCUUGUCAGCAGAGCUCUGAAGUCAUGGAGGGAGGAGCUGAUCAUCCCUUGUGUGCUUUUCUCAACAGAGGGCAAAGUGGAAGCUGCACCCCCUCGUUUGGGCAGCUCCUCAGGGCAGCCAUGCUGAGCAACUCAUGCAUAUUUGGGUGAAGAGCAGGUCCCUGCCUUCCUCGCUGCAGGGCAGCAUGGCUGUAACACAUGCUGGAGGCACAAAUCUCUGCUGUCAUCAGGGCCAGCUUAUCCAAUUUGCUCUCCAAAGAAUUCCACAUUGCUGUUCCGUUUUUAUUAUAUCCGUGCUAGGCUGCAAAACUGGCCCCUCAUCUCGGCAGCAUCCCCCAAGGAGCUGACAGGUUCUCAGGAUCUCCUCGAGUGCCUUGGGGGCCAGGGCCGGAGCAGCAGUGAAAUACACUGCUUAGCUCCUGACUCCCAGCACAGCAAAGAGCGUGCAUAAUGAAAGUAGAAGACAUCCUUUCUUUGCGCGCAGGAAAAUCCCUGUAUUCAGUAAACAAAUAGCACCGUGAGAAGCAUUCCAGGGGUUGUCUUCUUUAUACAAGGAAAAAAUAAUGUUUUUCUAAAUGAAUUUGCCUUCUCAUAAAUGCAAGCUUGGUCUAAUCUGUGCAUGUUUUAGCCUAGAGAGAGGCCCUGCCCUCUAGGAAAUGCUGCUCAUUUGUGCAGAGUAAAUUAGCUACAUGAUAUGUUGCAUUUUCCAAAUGCUGAAAAGCUUUGGCUCCUCAUUUCCUUUUAACUGGAAUAUUUUCUCAGGUUUAUAAGACCAAAUACUGUAUUUUGCUCUAGUCUGUGCUUUCAGAUGUAAUAUGCUCAUGCUAUUUGAACUGAAGCCACUAUGUCAUUGCUGAAUACCCAUGUUAAAAUCUGCAUAUAUAAUAAAGGUAUACACAUGAACUUAUAUAAAUAUUAUGCAUACAUGCAUUAGAUACAUAUGUAUCCCAUUUUAAAAAUUAAUUGCUAAGGAUCCUUUUAUUUUUUCAGCCAUACAGA
Molecule: long non-coding RNA, 2121 nt
Organism: Cygnus olor (mute swan)
Lineage: Eukaryota; Metazoa; Chordata; Aves; Anseriformes; Anatidae
Exons: 5
Source: RefSeq, a predicted model, not a curated record